ACGAAUCAUCUUUCAUUCAUCUCUCACGCUCUUUUCUUUUUUACUUCAAACACGUUAUCAGCACUACGCUCUACCUUGAGAGAAAAGACCAAUCAAGACGACAGAACAUUGGCAGUUCUUGCUACAGAAUCGAGCGCACCGUAGUCACAGUGGAUGGAUACAGAUCGAUCCAUGGCUUCUAGCCGGUCUUAUUGCUCCAUCCGUCAACGGGAACAUCCUUACAUCAGCGGCGAGGAACUCGGCUAGCGCAAGACAUGGCUGCUCAGUGCCGCCCGUUCCCGGCCACAGCGUUGUUCCAUUGCUGGAAGAUUCCACUAUUGCAUCCACACAAAGACGACCAUACAUGCAUCCAUGAAAGGGAAAUCUAUCAGGAGUCCAUGCAAAGACGGACAUGCAUCUGCCAUACGUACACGAGAAAACCGAACGUCUAUUUAAUUGUGUUUUCUUAUGAUAAAUCAUGGAUCUAAUAGUAGCUUUUUAUUAUGAAUUUGAAAUACUGCGAGCGUUGUGAGAAGGAUAAUCGAUCAUUGUGUACGAACCGUAAACGAUGUAUUUCUUCACCAUCAUGCAGCGACAUUCCACGUCCAUAGCGAUUCCAUUAGCGAUGGGGAGCACCUGGGACGAGCAGCGGCUAUGCGUCAGCCAUGGCCGGCCCAGCGGCCGCAUCACUCGACUGCGGAUGCCUGCACCACGACGUCUCGUCGACGCAACACCUUCUACAAACAAGACGGAUCAAUGUUUAACACAUGGAUUUCCCACAUCCAUGACAACCUUUGCACCUCCACCGGCGCACGGCGCGGCUUCUUCCAAGAAGUGGUAGCCCAUGCAUCUCUCCACCCUCUGACAGAACACAGCCAAGGCCCACACGGGGCUUCCCCUCCAACUUCCCUUAGUGCCAAAUAAGGCCAUGAGACUUAAUACUACUACUAGUGUUCACGCCCAUGCCUAUGGCAAGUGUUUGGUGGCUUAUACUAUGCAUAAAGUUUUAAGACAAGAAUUUUGCAUAAAAUACACAUGGUAUUACCGUGCAAGUGUUCAUACAUUAUAAUAUCAUCAAGUGUAGAACAUUAUACACUAGUGAUGGCAUUACUUCAUAUUGUAUAUGUUUGCCUCAACAUUCUUUAUAUAAUACUAGCA
This 1137-nucleotide long non-coding RNA is filed under the name Hordeum vulgare. RNAcentral's name for it is "long non-coding RNA (HVUL_LNC009414)". Lineage: Eukaryota; Viridiplantae; Streptophyta; Magnoliopsida; Poales; Poaceae. The record is from RNAcentral.